AUCUUAUCUAAUUUAUUAAAAUAUUUAUUUGUCAAAUAAAAAAUACCUCAUGGUGAUAGAUUA
This 63-nucleotide transfer RNA is filed under the name Ryssota otaheitana. RNAcentral's name for it is "tRNA-Asp". The record is from RNAcentral. Lineage: Eukaryota; Metazoa; Mollusca; Gastropoda; Stylommatophora; Chronidae.